CUAUCCCAUUCUCUCUCCAAGUUUCUGGUAGUUUCCAGCAAUUCUUGGUGGUCCUUAGCUUGUAGAUGUAUCACUCCAAUCCUUGCCCUCAUUUUUCACAUUGCCUUCUGUGAGUCUCUCUGCAUCCUUUCCUCUUCUUAAAGACACUAGUCAUUGUAUUCAUGGCUUAUCCUAAAUCCAGCAUGAUUUCACCUCAAAAUUCUUAACUAAUUACAUGUGCAAAGACCCUAUUCCCAAAUGAGAUCACAUUCUGAGAUUUUGAGUAGACAUAAAUUUAACAGAAACACUAUUCAAACUACUACAUUUCACUCUCUGAUCAACCAAAAUUAUAUCUAUCACAUAUGGAAAUUCAUUCACCUCAUUCCAAAAUUCCGAAAGUUGAAAUCCAUCCCAGCAUCAAUUCUAAAUUAAAAAUUUUAUCUAAAUAUUAUCAAUUCAAAAGUUUUAAAUAUCAUCAUCUAAAUAAGUUAUCCAUGACUCUUGGUAUGGUCCAUCCCAGGGCUAAAUUACUCUCCAUUUGUGGACCAGUGAAAUUGAAGAGGAGGCAGGACUCCAUUCUGGACCAUAUUGAAGAUUGGCUGAAACAGAGAAGAGGCACCAAAAGCACUUCUCCAUAAGACAUGCCCACCAGUGCCAUGUCAGUUUACCACUGCCAUGGCAACACCCAGAAGUUAUUGUCCCUUGCUAUGGCAAUGACCUGGAAGUUACAACCUAUUUUCUAGAAAUUUCUGAAUAGCCCAUCCCUUAAUUUGCAUGUAAUAAAAAUUGGGCAUAAAUAUGACUGCAGGACUUCUGAUCUGCUACUCUUCAUGCUGCCUGUGGGGCAGCUCUGCUCUGCAGGAGCAGUCAUGGAGCUGUAACACUGCCACUUCAAUAAAGCUGUUUUCUUCUAUUACUAGCUCACUCUUGAAUUAUUUCCUAAGCAAAGCCAAGAAGCUUCCUGGGCUAAGCCUGCUCUGCAUCAAGUAGUGCCCAAUGUGGAGCUGAGGAGAGAAGACGAUGGUGUGACAGAUGGUGAGAGAAUUGGCAGUUGGCAGUCGGCAAGGCAAAGGCAAAGGUAAGAGAGGAGAAGAGACAGUGAUCGGUGAGAGGAUGACUAGAGAAGCGAUGAGCAGAGAGAUGGAGCAAGAUGGUGAUAGAGAGAGAUGGUAAAGCAGUCGGUGACCGAGGCUGCAAGAGCUGUAACACUGUGGCUAUAAUAUCAAAGAGCUGUUAACAUUGCAAGAGCUAUAACAUUAACCAAAGCCUCUUUUUAGAGCUAUCAUUUUUCCUAGCAGGCAGCAGAGCUGAGUGAAUGGGAAAGUGGCUGUAGUGCCACUGCCUUGUAGGAGACCCACUGCUCUGACCCACAGGCAGAUGGGUUACCGGUUUGGUGGCAGCCUCUCCCACCACGACAGCCGAGUCCACCCAAACUGGGGAACCUGAAGAGAACUUUACCAGCGUCCCACAUGGAUGAUCAGUUGCUGUCAUUUUGGCUCCUGUGGAGGGGGCCAUUUGAUUGAAGCACUCAAGAAAUAUACUAAUACAGACCAAGACUUCCUGGAAGGAUGAGCUCUCCUGGGUGUGCAUUUUAUUACUCAAUCUGCCUACGACAUUUGGAGGAAGCUACAAAAGGUAGCAAUGGGACCCCAAACCCCCCUGAGCCAAAUCUCAGACAGUGCCCUGGGGACAGGGCAGAGGAAAAGGUGAAAAUCAAAAGAAUUGGCCAAAAAGCACAAUUCUUAGUGGCUGCUUUAGGCUCCCUGCUGCCUUGGGGUUGCCUACCCUGAGGAAAUGUGGUGAGAUCAGCAUCUGGGAUGCUCAGACAAGAGCCCUCAAAUUGCUGGCUUCUAGGCCAAACUCAGUGUACUUCUAUAAGGUAGGUAGAGGGGCACUGGAGGAAGGACUGCUCCAGGUUUAAAAGGGAGUCUAAGCAGGAGGCUUAGGCACGAGAAUUGCUUGAACCCAGGAUGUGAAGUUU
RNAcentral lists this long non-coding RNA (1960 nucleotides) under Homo sapiens (human). Its description in RNAcentral is "HSALNT0347710". Lineage: Eukaryota; Metazoa; Chordata; Mammalia; Primates; Hominidae. The record is from RNAcentral.